UCUACACCGUCAAUGGGAUUUUAUUCUAAAGGGCAUUAACGUCCCACUGGAAACAAGAGGCGUAAUCUUAGGGUGGUUCGGGAGGGAGCCCAGACUCGUCCUUCAGAAGCAACAGGUGGGAGAGUCAGAAGUGUUCUCUGCGAUUCUGAAUGAAUGAGCGAACGAAUGAAUGGACAGCAGACGACAGGCCGCUGCGCUGCGUGGUGUGAGUGAGUGAGUCAGGCCUUUCUCGCUUCCCGCAGGCUUUCCUCCCUUUCACGCCAGCGAGGUUCCCCGCUGGUCCAGCACAGAUGCGAGAGGAGAAAGCAAAUUGCCCAGGGCCAGAUGACAGCUCACCUAGGUGCGAAAAUCGCCGACCUUCGCUAAAUCCCAGCACAAAGCGACCCGCCUCCCACCCCUAGCUCAGCCUGACUGCUAUGAGGCUCAGCCUCAGAUUUACGUUGUUUUUCUUCAUCAUUCAGGACCGGUGAUUAGUAAUACUCUCCAAAAUAUGCCCAUACCCAAAAUUACUGGAGUUAAAAAAUUUAAAUCUCCCAAUGCAGA
Long non-coding RNA from Podarcis raffonei (Aeolian wall lizard), 543 nucleotides. RefSeq lists it as uncharacterized. The record is from RefSeq and is a predicted model, not a curated record. The transcript is spliced from 2 exons. NCBI's taxonomy places the organism in Eukaryota, Metazoa, Chordata, Lepidosauria, Squamata, Lacertidae.